RNAcentral lists this long non-coding RNA (437 nucleotides) under Capsella rubella. Its description in RNAcentral is "long non-coding RNA (CRUB_LNC003391)". The record is from RNAcentral. Lineage: Eukaryota; Viridiplantae; Streptophyta; Magnoliopsida; Brassicales; Brassicaceae.
ACAUCUCAAGAUUUAUUUUCUUACAAAUUUCGUAGUAUCUUCAAAUUUAUUUGUUUGACAAGACAUAUACUUAUUUGAUUUGAGAUCAUAACAAUAAAAAAGGUACUUGUGUCAUUGAUACUACCCCCACUCAGUAACAGUUUUCUUCUUUUUUUCUUAGCUCUUAAUUUUAUAAUUUACCAUAUCCAUAUGCAAACACAUUCUUAUAGACCAAUUAUACUUUUAAAAUGAAACUAAAAUCACUAGCCACAAUCGCCAUGAAAUGUUCGAUGAUGAGCUCUCUCUGUUUUUUUUUUUUUUUUUUUCUAAUCAACCUGUAUUUGAAAAGUUCAUGUAAAUAAUAAAUAAUUAAUAGAUAUUAGUUCAUAUUAAUUAAUUGAAAUCAAGUCAUUUAGUACAAUAAAAUCGAUAGUCUUCUUCUUAUGUUUGAUUUCGUG